This 717-nucleotide ribosomal RNA is filed under the name Acarospora agostiniana. RNAcentral's name for it is "Acarospora sp. EH-2021d partial large subunit ribosomal RNA". It matches the Rfam family "Eukaryotic large subunit ribosomal RNA", at positions 431 to 1443 of the family's 3401-position model. Lineage: Eukaryota; Fungi; Ascomycota; Lecanoromycetes; Acarosporales; Acarosporaceae. The record is from RNAcentral.
AGACUUGCCCGCGGGUGAUCAGCCGGUAUUCGUACCGGUGCACUCGCCCGUGGUCAGGCCAGCAUCGGUUUGGGCGGCUGGAUAAAGUCCCCCGGAAUGUAGCUCCUCUCGGGGAGUGUUAUAGCCGGAGGUGUCAUGCAGCCCGCCCGGACCGAGGACCGCGCUUCGGCUAGGAUGCUGGCGUAAUGGUUGUAAGCGACCCGUCUUGAAACACGGACCAAGGAGUCUAACAUCUAUGCGAGUGUUUGGGUGUCAAACCCAUGCGCGUAAUGAAAGUGAACGGAGGUGGGAACCCUCAAGGGUGCACCAUCGACCGAUCCUGAUGUCUUCGGAUGGAUUUGAGUAAGAGCAUAGCUGUUGGGACCCGAAAGAUGGUGAACUAUGCCUGAAUAGGGUGAAGCCAGAGGAAACUCUGGUGGAGGCUCGCAGCGGUUCUGACGUGCAAAUCGAUCGUCAAAUUUGGGUAUAGGGGCGAAAGACUAAUCGAACCAUCAAGCUAGGUGGUUGAUCGAGGUGCGGGUUUGACUCCACCUCCAGUCUCCUUGGAGGCGACAUCGUCACUUGCGUGAACCUUUCGGGUGAAAUUGACACGCCGCAGUGCGUUGGUGCACUGUACACAGACCAGAUGACGGUGGUCGGCGUCGGGUGUCGACGUCGAUUCAGAUAUGGCCGAGACCACCUUAGCGAUGAGGUGGCCCCGGAGACCUACCCUGGAGA